CCCGCUCAGACACUUAAAGGAAUUGACGGGGGCCCGCACAAGCGGUGGAGCAUGUGGUUUAAUUCGAUGGUACGCGAGGAACCUUACCAGGGCUUGACAUACGCCGGAAGCGCAUCGAAAGGUGCGUGCCGCUUGCGGCCGGCGUACAGGUGCUGCAUGGCUGUCGUCAGCUCGUGCUGUGAAGUGUUGGGUUAAGUCCCGCAACGAGCGCAACCCUAUUGCUAGUUACCAUUCAUUAAGUUGGGGACUCUAGCGAGACUGCCAGUGAUAAACUGGAGGAAGGUGGGGAUGACGUCAAAUCAUCAUGCCCCUUAUGACCUGGGCUACAAACGUGAUACAAUGGCUGGAACAAAGGGAUGCGAAGCAGUGAUGUGGAGCGAAACCCAUAAAAACAGUCUCAGUUCGGAUUGAAGUCUGCAACUCGACUUCAUGAAGUCGGAAUCGCUAGUAAUCGCGGAUCAGAACGCCGCGGUGAAUACGUUCUCGGGGUUU
This 492-nucleotide ribosomal RNA is filed under the name uncultured Acholeplasma sp. Its description in RNAcentral is "bacterial SSU rRNA". It matches the Rfam family "Bacterial small subunit ribosomal RNA", at positions 903 to 1382 of the family's 1533-position model. Lineage: Bacteria; Bacillati; Mycoplasmatota; Mollicutes; Acholeplasmatales; Acholeplasmataceae. The record is from RNAcentral.